Camelus ferus (Wild Bactrian camel) is the source of this 46-nucleotide regulatory RNA element. It matches the Rfam family "Histone 3' UTR stem-loop". From Rfam's summary of the family: The mRNAs of metazoan histone genes lack a poly-A tail. 3' end processing occurs at a site between a highly conserved stem-loop (modelled by this family) and a purine rich region around 20 nts downstream (the histone downstream element, or HDE). The stem-loop is bound by a 31 kDa stem-loop binding protein (SLBP - also termed the histone hairpin binding protein, or HBP). NCBI's taxonomy places the organism in Eukaryota, Metazoa, Chordata, Mammalia, Artiodactyla, Camelidae. The record is from Rfam.
CUAACGGCUCUUUUAAGAGCCACCCAUGUUCUCAGGGAGAGAGCUG